CCCUCGAUCUAUCUAGCUCUAACUCUAAGAAUUUUUAGAGCUAAGGAUAACUAGCUUCAAAAAUUCUUAUAAUUGCAGCUCUGCUAAACAUGCCCUUAUGCAAGCCUUGUCGAUCUCCACUUCAUCAAGGAAGCCCAAGGUACCAUACUCAUUUUCUGCAUCCAACCGUGUACCUGCAGAUAGGUCCAUCUUUCCUAGGGAUUGAAGACCUUUAAUCAGGGUUCUGUAUGUUAUCAUGUAAGGAUCAUUGUCCCAUAAUUUCAUUAGACGGAAUCAGUGUUCUGUAUGUUAUCCUGUAAGGAUCAUUGUCCCAUAACUUCAUCUAGGAGUGCCUUCAGAAGCAUAUUGAAACUCACAUUAAAAUUUAGUUUGAAUUUCGUCCGUUUAAUCGACCCAUCAAAAGACAAUGCCAGAUUUCCAGCUACAAUUGUAAGGGAGCAUAACAUCAUGUAAGAACAGGGCAAACUGCUGGGCAGAAUUACAGAUUUUCAGACGUUUCGGUCAUUCAGUGGGAAGGCCAUUUACAAUUUGUGGUAACACUGUUCUUGGUCAUUUUCAAAUUUCAGAUUAUUGGUGUCAGCUAUCCAUCAAAAGACUCUCAAUUUGACACCAAUAAUGCUUGACUAUGUUAGACAAAAAGAAGAAACUUUUAGAAAAAAUAUGUUACAAGAAACUGAUUGUAUCUUUUGCUUGCAGUGACUUUCAUAAAGCUAGGACUUGGGUGGUCCUCUUCCUUCAUGCCACCGAGUAUCACCUAAACAAAAGAAGACAUACUUGUACUUAAAUCACUGAUAUCUACCCAUCUGUGACAAGUUAGUGUUCCUGAAGGAAAGAAAAGAGAUAGGCGAAACGACCUGCUACUCAUACGCGAUGGAGGGGGUCUUUUAGAUUUUAGAAUAAUGGACAAGACUAAAAGGGACGAUGCAACCACUGUCAUCCAAAGAGAAGAGUGGGCGAAAUCAAGACAAGAUGUGGAGAAGCAUUUCAGGAAGCUCCGAGACUGACUACUCAAACUGGUUCUGAAGAAACGGCUGUUAGAUUUAGCAGAAAAAUGAUUCGCAGCGAUUUUGCUGUCUCUGCUGCUGAUUGUUUGGAGUAAGCAACUAGUGUGAUCAAUUGGGACAUCAAGAAAGUAGAUAGGUCGUGUGUAACAAUAGUUGUAGCAAAAGUAGAAUGUAUGCCUGCACAAAAACUGAAAGAUUCUGGUGAUUGCCGCUAUCUUGUUGAGUAGUCAUUAGCGAAGCUUAUGAAUCUGUCGAAUAUGAGCGAUCAUCUUUUAUACAAUUAUGAACUCAAUUGUUCUGAA
Molecule: long non-coding RNA, 1306 nt
Organism: Phragmites australis (common reed)
Lineage: Eukaryota; Viridiplantae; Streptophyta; Magnoliopsida; Poales; Poaceae
Exons: 2
Source: RefSeq, a predicted model, not a curated record